This is a non-coding RNA of Plasmodium adleri (nom. inval.), 539 nucleotides long. Lineage: Eukaryota; Apicomplexa; Aconoidasida; Haemosporida; Plasmodiidae. The record is from RefSeq and is a predicted model, not a curated record.
AAUAAUAAAAUAUUUUAUCAUUCUUAAUAUAACUUAAAUUAAAGAAUAACAAAAAUAUAUAUAUAUAGAAAUAAACACAUAUUUUUCAUAUCUACAAAUGAAAAAUAUUACAUAUAUAUAUAUAUAUAUAUAUUUAUGUGAUCAUUAAUUUGUAUAAUAUUAGGUUUACUCAAGGUUUUUAAUUAUAUGGUGGGUUAUAAUAGAAACACGUAAUAAUAUAUAAAAGGAUAUAUAAAUAAACAAAUAAAUAUAUAAACAUUUGUAUGUUUCGAUUUUAAUAACACGUGGUUGUUAUUAUUUAAUGAUGGGGGAAAAAAAAAAAAAAAAAAAAAAAAAAAACAUGACAACACACUAUAUAAUCCUUAUAUAAAAUAAGGAACUUUAAACACAGCAUUAAAAGUUACAAUAUAUCAAAUUUAUUUUUUAUGAUAUAUAUAUAUAUAUAAUUAAUUUUUAUAAAAAGAGACAAUAAUAUAUGUGUUCCACACAAUUGACGAUAUAAUAUUAUUGCUUAUUAUUUUUGAAUAAUAAUAAAAAAA